UGAAAGCUAAAUGAGGUGAAGGUUGAUGGAUAAGUUUCAGAUACAUUCGUGAGACACAUAAAAGUUUUGCACCUUCGAAAAGCCAAUCUAACCAUAAACGUGGAAAAGAUAAAUUUUUGCGGCAAGGUGGUGAAUUACUCAG
Drosophila teissieri is the source of this 142-nucleotide long non-coding RNA. RefSeq lists it as uncharacterized. Lineage: Eukaryota; Metazoa; Arthropoda; Insecta; Diptera; Drosophilidae. The record is from RefSeq and is a predicted model, not a curated record. The transcript has 3 exons.